ACUAAGAUUGUGUUUAAUUGGCGCCCGAGCAGGGACCCCGCGUUUAAAAGUUGAUCAAGUGAAAACGAUAACCGAAAUAUACGCAGUGCCAACAAAACUUCGCUGAGGUCAGACGGGGUUAUAACAAAACUGAUCGCUGCAUUCCUCUAGUAUCCGUUCGGAGGAAAAAUUGGUAAAACAAGUGUCUGGAUUCGGAGCGUUAGUACCUCAACGUGGGAAAAGCGAGUACCCCUACCAACCAACCAAUACAAGCACCGAAAUGAAAAUUAUUCUAAUGUUAAUAUUGAUACCUGUCUGUUGGGGACAUACGACUAUCUUGGAUUACUCAAAAUCGAGAGUAGUAAUGCUGGAAACUGGGAUGGCAGCGAGGCAGAAUGGAACGUUCAAAAUUAUACACGUUGUAGAAGUAGAAAUGUAUCAACAGGCAUUGUAGGUGUUAAAAGAGGUCGUACGAAAUUCAACGAAAACAAACCCGUAUUACCCUUUCCUUAUUUACGAAAUAACCCGAAUUGAAAAUGAGAUCAAAAGAUUAAAGCCUAUAAAGUUCAGAGUUAAACGCUCUCUUGACAUACUUGGAACAGCGUGGAAGUGGCUCGCGGGUACCCCAGAUCACCAGGAUCACAAAAUUGUAAUCGACAAAAUCAAUGAACAGCUCAAAAAUAAUAACAAACAAGUAGUAAUCAAUAAACUAGUAGAAAAUAAGAUAAACGAUUUAAUUAAGAUAACUAACACCUUAUUACAUAAAAGCAAACCAGAAACAGAUGAAAAAGUAAAAGAAAUAGAAGUAACAAAAUUCAAACUGAGUCUCUUAAGAGAAGAAAUCACAAAUAUCAUUUAUGCAAUAGAUUGGGCUAAAGCCAACACAAUAAAUUCCUUGAUCUUAUCACCAGCAGAAAUAAAUAUUAUCGAAACAUAUGCUGAGGAAAGCCUAACGUUUGUAAAUAUCGAAGAGCUUAUAGAAUUUGCUGAAGUAAGUGUCGCUUCAGAUGGCAGAGCUCUUCUUUAUAUUGUCAGCAUACCUAGGGUGAUUAAAGAACAAUGUAAAAAAAUCAUGGCAUUACCCAUAAAAUAUGGAAAAACAAUCGAAAAAAUAGAUUAUAAUCACAUAUUGAAAUGUAAUAAACAAUACUUUG
Molecule: long non-coding RNA, 1133 nt
Organism: Drosophila willistoni
Lineage: Eukaryota; Metazoa; Arthropoda; Insecta; Diptera; Drosophilidae
Exons: 3
Source: RefSeq, a predicted model, not a curated record